This 481-nucleotide ribosomal RNA is filed under the name uncultured bacterium. RNAcentral's name for it is "partial 16S ribosomal RNA". It matches the Rfam family "Bacterial small subunit ribosomal RNA", at positions 29 to 507 of the family's 1533-position model. The record is from RNAcentral.
AUGAACGCUAGCGGCAGGCCUAAUACAUGCAAGUCGGACGGGAUUCAGGAGCUUGCUUCUGAUGAGAGUGGCGCACGGGUGCGUAACACGUAUGUAACCUACCUUUAUCAGGGGGAUAGCCUCUCGAAAGAGAGAUUAAGCCCGCAUAAAAUCACAGCACAGCAUUGUGUAAUGAUCAAAUAUUUAUAGGAUAAAGAUGGGCAUGCGGAACAUUAGCUAGAUGGCGGGGUAACGGCCCACCAUGGCGACGAUGUUUAGGGGAUCUGAGAGGAUGGCCCCCCAAACUGGUACUGAGACACGGACCAGACUCCUACGGGAGGCAGCAGUAAGGAAUAUUGGUCAAUGGGCGGAAGCCUGAACCAGCCAUGCCGCGUGCAGGAAGACGGGCCUACGGGUUGUAAACUGCUUUUAUACGGGAAUAAACCCAGAUACGUGUAUCUGGCUGAAUGUACUGUAAGAAUAAGGAUCGGCUAACUCCGUG